Molecule: ribosomal RNA, 119 nt
Filed under: Pteropus alecto (black flying fox)
Lineage: Eukaryota; Metazoa; Chordata; Mammalia; Chiroptera; Pteropodidae
Source: RNAcentral
GUCUACGGCCAUACCACCCUGAACAAGUCUGAUCCCGUCUGAUCUUGAAAGCUAAGCAGGGUCGGGCCUGGUUAGUACUUGGAUGGGAGACCACCUAGGAAGACCAGGUGCAGUUGGCA